Molecule: ribosomal RNA, 503 nt
Filed under: uncultured bacterium
Lineage: Bacteria
Description: partial 16S ribosomal RNA
Rfam family: Bacterial small subunit ribosomal RNA
Source: RNAcentral
AUUGAACGCUGGCGGCAGGCUUAACACAUGCAAGUCGAGCGGGGUGAUGGUGCUUGCACUAUCACUUAGCGGCGGACGGGUGAGUAAUGCUUAGGAAUCUGCCUAUUAGUGGGGGACAACAUCUCGAAAGGGAUGCUAAUACCGCAUACGACCUACGGGAGAAAGCAGGGGAUCACUUGUGACCUUGCGCUAAUAGAUGAGCCUAAGUCGGAUUAGCUAGUUGGUGGGGUAAAGGCCUACCAAGGCGACGAUCUGUAGAGGGUCUGAGAGGAUGAUCCGCCACACUGGGACUGAGACACGGCCCAGACUCCUACGGGAGGCAGCAGUGGGGAAUAUUGGACAAUGGGGGGAACCCUGAUCCAGCCAUGCCGCGUGUGUGAAGAAGGCCCUAUGGUUGUAAAGCACUUUAAGCGAGGAGGAGGCUCUUUUGGUUAAUACCCAAGAUGAGUGGACGUUACUCGCAGAAUAAGCACCGGCUAACUCUGUGCCAGCCGCCGCCGUAA